AUGGCCGAGUCGGCCGUCGGUGCUGUGCUCGGCAAUGUCAGCACCCUUGCGGUUCAGGAGACCACGCUCCUAUGUGGAGUUAGCCUAGAAGUGGAGUUCCUCAAGGAUGAGCUCAAGCGGCUGCAAGGCUUCCUCCAAGACGCCAACAACAAACGGAGGCGGGGAGAUGAAAGUAUUGUUGUCUUGGUCAGCCAGAUCAGAGAUGUGGCGUAUGAGGCCAACAAUGCCAUUGAAGCCGCUGAGUACAUGCAGAAGAGAAACAGAUUGAAGAAGGGAUUCAUGGGUGCCAUUGCAAGGUAUGCUCGCCUACCAAGUGAUUUGACUACCCUUCACGAAAUUGGUGUCGAAAUCCAACGGAUCAAAAGGAAGAUUUCUGAUAUAUUUGAAAGUGCAAACCGUCUGAAAAUAGUUGAUUUGGGGAAUACUUCAAUAGAAAAUGUUCAUCUUGAUGAUGAGUUCCAACUAGAUUAUGGCCCUAUGCAUCAAAACAUUGAAGAAAUUGUAGUUGUUGGCUUUGAGGGUGAGUACAAAGAAAUAGCGGGGAAGUUAGUGGAGGCAGAGAAGAGCCUUAGUGCUAUCUCCAUCGUUGCUAUGGGUGGGGCAGGAAAAACAACACUUGCUAGAAAAGUCUACACUUCAGAUAGAGUCAAACUACACUUUGAUACAAUUGCUUGGGUUACUGUAUCUCAAAAGUACAAGGUCAUUGAUUUACUAAAGGAUAUUCUAAAACAAAUAGUGGAGAGGAGAGAUGAGUCAAUUGAUAAAAUGGAUGAGUACGAGGUGGGAAAGAAGAUCCAUAAUCUUUUGUUCAAAAAAAGAUACUUAGUAGUUCUUGACGAUGUGUGGGAAACAGAUACAUGGGAGCAAUUAAACAGAACCAUUACUGCCUUUCCAGAUGCAACUAAUGGUAGUAGGAUACUAUUAACCACACGGAAAGAAGAUGUUGCACGUCUUGUUCAGAUGCCAACCUAUGUUCAUUCUUUGAAGAAGUUAGAUGAAGAGAGGAGUUGGGAACUCUUUAGUAGAAAAGCUUUACCAUCGUAUAAAAGGUCUGCUAUAGCUCAUGUGGAUGAGUUUGAAAAACUUGGAAGAAAGCUUGCAAAGAAAUGUGACGGAUUGCCACUUGCACUUGCAAUUUUGGGGGGUUAUCUAUAUAAAAACCUAAAUAAACAAGCAUGGACUGAUAUACUAUUGGAUUGGCCUGCAACAAAAAAUGGAGAGAUGAUGCAAAACAUACUAGCUCGUAGUUACAAGGACCUGCCAAAUCAUUAUUUACGAUCCUGUUUUCUCUAUAUUGCUGCUUUUCCUGAGGAUUACGAAAUUUAUGUGUCGGAUCUUAUGGAAUUAUGGAUAGCAGAAGGCUUCAUUCCACACACACGAAAUCAUAAACUAGAAGAAACAGCACGCAAGUAUGUAGCCGAGUUGGCCCAGAGAAGCCUUGUGCAGGUUACUGGUAGAAGUGAGGCACAUGGAUGGAUUGAGAAAAUAAGGGUUCAUGAUAUUUUACGUGAUUGGUGCAUAGAAGAGGCAAGAAAAGAUAGUUUUCUUGUUGUCAUCGACAAAACUUCAGGCCAAGUUGGUGCAAUAUCAACUGAUAUCACGAUAUCAUAUCGUUACUGUUAUCAGCACUUCAAUGGUCAGAAUUUGCAGGCAUCACGUAAUCUCUGA
RNAcentral lists this ribosomal RNA (1668 nucleotides) under Triticum aestivum (bread wheat). RNAcentral's name for it is "partial small subunit ribosomal RNA". The record is from RNAcentral. Lineage: Eukaryota; Viridiplantae; Streptophyta; Magnoliopsida; Poales; Poaceae.